This 462-nucleotide ribosomal RNA is filed under the name uncultured bacterium. RNAcentral's name for it is "bacterial SSU rRNA". It matches the Rfam family "Bacterial small subunit ribosomal RNA", at positions 28 to 507 of the family's 1533-position model. The record is from RNAcentral.
GACGAACGCUGGCGGCGUGCUUAACACAUGCAAGUCGAGCGGUAAGGCCUUUCGGGGUACACGAGCGGCGAACGGGUGAGUAACACGUGGGUGAUCUGCCCUGCACUUCGGGAUAAGCCUGGGAAACUGGGUCUAAUACCGGAUAUGACCUCCUAUCGCAUGGUGGGUGGUGGAAAGAUUUAUCGGUGCGGGAUGGGCCCGCGGCCUAUCAGCUUGUUGGUGGGGUAAUGGCCUACCAAGGCGACGACGGGUAGCCGACCUGAGAGGGUGACCGGCCACACUGGGACUGAGACACGGCCCAGACUCCUACGGGAGGCAGCAGUGGGGAAUAUUGCACAAUGGGCGAAAGCCUGAUGCAGCGACGCCGCGUGAGGGAUGACGGCCUUCGGGUUGUAAACCUCUUUCAGCAGGGACGAAGCGCAAGUGACGGUACCUGCAGAAGAAGCACCGGCUAACUACGUG